Chrysemys picta bellii (western painted turtle) is the source of this 1573-nucleotide long non-coding RNA. Lineage: Eukaryota; Metazoa; Chordata; Testudines; Emydidae. The record is from Ensembl.
AUGGGAAAUGAUAAAAUGUGUGUUAUUCACCUCAGCCACCAGAACAGCUCCAGAAAUGUUAUUCUGUUCUCUCAGGAUGGAUCUGUUAUAGCAAUUAUAACAUGCAUUCCAGGAACUCUAUGCAUUUAGCAAACAUUCACUAAUUCUAUCUAUCCAUCUCUCUCUCCCUCCCACAGGAACUGGUUUCUUGCAGGCAGACCCUCACAUCUGCACAAAGUCCCACUGAAGUCAGUGGAGCUUGGUCCAGCCACACGAUUGCAGGAGUGGGGCGAUACAUAUCUGACGGCAUAAAUAAGCAUUAUAACUCCCUGGUGAGGGAAAUUCCACUGAGAGCUAACAUCUCAUUUCCAAGGUGUCCCCUGGGAUAAAUCAGAAGGGAUAGGACUGAAAGUGAAGGCAUAGAAUACGAAAGAAAAAGAAGCAAUGUGUAAGGGGAAGAAGAUUUGAGAAUCAGGUCACUGAAGGUGUAAGCAGAAGAGACCCUGUUGGAUCAUCAUCAACUACCUUUCCCUGCCAAUGCAAGAGACAGUCCCCUGAUCGAGGAUGCAGCAGGCACUACACUUGUGCCACAUCUGGAUAGCCAUAGGUACCAAGAAUCUCAUCUACUUACACAUAUUCGUGAUUUUAUCCCACUCUUGGAUUUCUGGAACCUCGUUCUCCACACUGAUCUAUAAGAAUUUUGAAAAACCCCGGUGCUGUGAACGUAUAAAGUAUGUUUAUUGCCACUACAAGAAUUCUAAAGGAAUUAAGAUGGAAAAUUCUCUGAAUACCUCUUCAGAACAGCGUGUUUCAAAUGGAACCAGUAACAGGAACCGGUUUUUGAGCAACCCUCAUUAGCACAUUGGACAGUUUUCCCCCAGAAUUCCAAGGUGCGUGCAGCUCUAUUCCUUAUUGGACAACCACAACCCUUGUAGGGGUUGGAAGGGGCUGUUCUACCACAGCAGCCCUUCAGAGGAAUUCUGGAUGACACGCAGAAUUUCUCCAGUAGGUCUAGAGCAGCCUGUGGUGGAGUGGCAGCUCCACCAUCCUUCACAGUGGUGCAGUUCUGUAGGCUGGUGUGAAAUGGGGGGCCAUGGCCCUGCCUUUACUCGAUCCCCUUUGAAAAGGCUAGCACUGCUGGCUGCAGUAGCCUGGAUCACUUAAUCUACUCCCUCUCCUGGUUGUAGAUGGCCCUUGUGUUGGGCACAAAUGGGUAAGGAAGAUUCCUCACGCUCUUCCUCCAUCUUACAUAGCUACACAGAGUCAGCUGGAAUGAGGCCUAAAAUGUGUGUAAUACUCCUAUCCCCUCCAGCCAUUACUAGGAAGAUGUGAGUCUAUUUAUACUGAAAAGCUUACGGACAAAAGUAUCUACUACUAAACCUUCCAUUGAAAUUCUCUCCAGGGGAGCUUGUCAAAGCUAUACAGGUUCUAUAAUGUUUGGGCAGCUGUCUGCUUUCAAUUGUAUUUUUUUCCAUUUUUCCUCCAUGUGAUAUAUAAUAUAGCUUCAGGAGCAAUUCUGGUUAUAAAAUUAUGGAAAUGUGGCCUAGCUGGCUUUUAUUUGAAAAGUUAUUUCAUUGCAUCUCACUAAAGAAUU